Molecule: ribosomal RNA, 245 nt
Filed under: uncultured Chloroflexota bacterium
Lineage: Bacteria; Bacillati; Chloroflexota
Description: uncultured Chloroflexi bacterium partial 16S ribosomal RNA
Rfam family: Bacterial small subunit ribosomal RNA
Source: RNAcentral
UACGUAGGAGGCUAGCGUUAUCCGGAUUUACUGGGCGUAAAGAGGGCGCGGGCGGCUUUUCAAGUCGGAUGUAAAAUCUCCCGGCUCAACUGGGAGGGACCAUUCGAAACUGCUGGGCUAGAGUGCAGCAGAGGGAGGUGGAAUUCCCGGUGUAGUGGUGAAAUGCGUAGAUAUCGGGAGGAACACCAGUGGCGAAGGCGACCUUCUGGGCUGUUACUGACGCUGAGGCCCAAUAGCGUGGGGAG